RNAcentral lists this ribosomal RNA (695 nucleotides) under uncultured bacterium. RNAcentral describes it as "partial 16S ribosomal RNA". The record is from RNAcentral.
AUAUCUACGCAUUUCACCGCUACACAGGAAAUUCCACCACCCUCUACCGUACUCUAGCUCAGUAGUUUUGGAUGCAGUUCCCAGGUUGAGCCCGGGGAUUUCACAUCCAACUUGCUGAACCACCUACGCGCGCUUUACGCCCAGUAAUUCCGAUUAACGCUUGCACCCUUCGUAUUACCGCGGCUGCUGGCACGAAGUUAGCCGGUGCUUAUUCUGUUGGUAACGUCAAAACAGCAAGGUAUUAACUUACUGCCCUUCCUCCCAACUUAAAGUGCUUUACAAUCCGAAGACCUUCUUCACACACGCGGCAUGGCUGGAUCAGGCUUUCGCCCAUUGUCCAAUAUUCCCCACUGCUGCCUCCCGUAGGAGUCUGGACCGUGUCUCAGUUCCAGUGUGACUGAUCAUCCUCUCAGACCAGUUACGGAUCGUCGCCUUGGUAGGCCUUUACCCCACCAACUAGCUAAUCCGACCUAGGCUCAUCUGAUAGCGUGAGGUCCGAAGAUCCCCCACUUUCUCCCUCAGGACGUAUGCGGUAUUAGCGCCCGUUUCCGGACGUUAUCCCCCACUACCAGGCAGAUUCCUAGGCAUUACUCACCCGUCCGCCGCUGAAUCCAGGAGCAAGCUCCCUUCAUCCGCUCGACUUGCAUGUGUUAGGCCUGCCGCCAGCGUUCAAUCUGAGCCAGGAUCAAACUCUU